This 253-nucleotide ribosomal RNA is filed under the name uncultured bacterium. Its description in RNAcentral is "partial 16S ribosomal RNA". It matches the Rfam family "Bacterial small subunit ribosomal RNA", at positions 524 to 776 of the family's 1533-position model. The record is from RNAcentral.
UACGAAGGUCCCAAGCGUUAUCCGGAUUUAUUGGGUUUAAAGGGUGCGUAGGCGGGCUAUUAAGUCAGUGGUGAAAGCCCCAAGCUUAACUUGGGAACUGCCAUUGAUACUGAUAGUCUUGAGUACAUUUGAGGUGGGCGGAAUGUGUCAUGUAGCGGUGAAAUGCUUAGAUAUGACACAGAACACCGAUUGCGAAGGCAGCUCACUAAACUGUAACUGACGCUGAGGCACGAAAGCGUGGGGAGCAAACAGG